This is a long non-coding RNA of Telopea speciosissima, 501 nucleotides long. RefSeq lists it as uncharacterized. NCBI's taxonomy places the organism in Eukaryota, Viridiplantae, Streptophyta, Magnoliopsida, Proteales, Proteaceae. The record is from RefSeq and is a predicted model, not a curated record. The transcript has 2 exons.
GGGUCAGUUCUUGAAGCUUCUUUCUCUAAUGAUGGCUGCCUCUCUCACAGACACAGUCUUGAUGGUUUCUCAGCCUCAUUCAGCAGGAGUGCUGAAAGUGGAGAUGGUGACAAAUUCCAUCCACUCCACUUCCAAAAUAUUAGACAGUAUAGGUCUUGCUGACGUUGGAUUAGAUGGAAACAAACAGAAACUCAACCACUCCAGGGAGCUGGUUAUACUGAAUGGUAAAUUGUUGUUUGAAAAUGCUUCUCCAAUUGAAUGCAAGGAAGAGUUCAUUCUAGGCCCAUUAAUUCUCCUUUUUUUUUUUUGAGAAAUUGGAAAUUUUUGUUGAUACAUGGUAUAGAAGUUGUGACUGCAGACUGGGUACGUCUCAUGGAAGCCAAGAGAGGAACCAACUGAACGAGUUCCUUUUUGACUGUAUGAUAUAAGAGUGUUUGGGCUCGAAGUAUGGCCACUACUGUAAAACCAUCUUUACAAUUUGGAAGAAAAUGCAAUUAGGAA